This 231-nucleotide long non-coding RNA is filed under the name Coffea arabica (coffee). RNAcentral describes it as "long non-coding RNA (CARA_LNC000211)". Lineage: Eukaryota; Viridiplantae; Streptophyta; Magnoliopsida; Gentianales; Rubiaceae. The record is from RNAcentral.
AAUGAAGGGGAAGGAGUAGUGGGAGAGUAAUGCUAGUGAAAGGGACAGGGGGACAGAAAAGGAGUAGUAGGUGGAAGUAGCAAAAGAAGGCUGGGGGAAGGAGGAGUGGGUGGUUGGCGAGAUGGAGUUUAGUGGUGGGGUAAGGAGAAUUAAGGAGUGGACAGGGUAGUGGCAGAUAGGGGUAUUGAGGGAGGUGGAAUGGUGGCUGGGUUGACCGAGGAAGAGGGUCGC